Long non-coding RNA from Tyto alba (common barn owl), 638 nucleotides. RefSeq lists it as uncharacterized. The record is from RefSeq and is a predicted model, not a curated record. NCBI's taxonomy places the organism in Eukaryota, Metazoa, Chordata, Aves, Strigiformes, Tytonidae. The transcript is spliced from 3 exons.
GGACCAGGGCUCUGCGAUAUAUUGCAGUGGAUACGUGGUGUUAAAUCCGACUUUGAGCAAAUGCAAUUAUUUCCACCACCAUCUGAGAAGCCACUUAGAUGCUUAAAGAGAUCCAUGUUCCAGUCCGAAGAAUCUCCCAUCUCUCAAGGGUGAACAACCAACAUGUCAUCCGAGAUUCUGAAGACCUGCAGUCUAUAGCUGCUGCGGAAACCUCGGGAUUGUCCAGACAGGAGCUUGUCUUCCAGUGAGAGGAGAAGAAAAGCCUGAUGAUGCUUGCUAUGACCCUAUUUCUAAAAUUUGUCAUUUGUAUCUGCCCUGAGAUGAUACUUGCAUACAAAAGGCCUAACUUUCAAGCAUGCUGAUUUGUUACCAAAAACCAAUGGAGUAAAGAGGAAGUUCAGGUUCUUGCACCUCUGCAGAGGUGUCUGAUAUGACUUUGUCUGCCCAGUUGUAGAUACCUGACCUUAGAAGUACUGCCCAAGAUUUUGUUAUUCCUCUUAGAAUUAUUGCCACAAUUUAUUCUUUCUCUGCUGAGUGCUAGAAAGCUGUUAUUUCCUCCCUGUAAAAGGAAGAGGGUAUAAUUAAAUUAACCAAAUGAAUCAUUAUCAAAAUAGUUUCUGUCAGGUAUAGAGUUUGUC